RNAcentral lists this ribosomal RNA (250 nucleotides) under uncultured prokaryote. RNAcentral describes it as "partial 16S ribosomal RNA". It matches the Rfam family "Bacterial small subunit ribosomal RNA", at positions 524 to 773 of the family's 1533-position model. The record is from RNAcentral.
UACGGAAGGUCCGGGCGUUAUCCGGAUUUAUUGGGUUUAAAGGGAGCGCAGGCGGAGGCUUAAGCGUGACGUGAAGUGUAGAUGCUCAACAUCUGAGUUGCGUCGCGAACUGGGUUUCUUGAGUGAGUACGACGUGGACGGAAUGCGUGGUGUAGCGGUGAAAUGCUUAGAUAUCACGAAGAACCCCGAUUGCGAAGGCAGUCCACGAGUCCUUUACUGACGCUAAAGCUCGAAGGUGUGGGUAUCGAAC